Molecule: ribosomal RNA, 429 nt
Filed under: uncultured bacterium
Lineage: Bacteria
Description: partial 16S ribosomal RNA
Rfam family: Bacterial small subunit ribosomal RNA
Source: RNAcentral
CCUACGGGGGUCUGCAGUGGGGAAUUUUGGACAAUGGGCGAAAGCCUGAUCCAGUCAUUCCGCGUGCAGGAUGAAGGCCUUCGGGUUGUAAACUGCUUUUGGGAACAGCUCGGUACCGUCAGAAUAAGCACCGGCUAACUACGUGCCAGCAGCCGCGGUAAUACGUAGGGUGCAAGCGUUAAUCGGAAUUACUGGGCGUAAAGCGUGCGCAGGCGGUUAUGUAAGACAGAUGUGAAAUCCCCGGGCUCAACCUGGGAACUGCAUUUGUGACUGCAUAGCUAGAGUACGGUAGAGGGGGAUGGAAUUCCGCGUGUAGCAGUGAAAUGCGUAGAUAUGCGGAGGAACACCGAUGGCGAAGGCAAUCCCCUGGCCGUACUGACGCUCAUGCACGAAAGCGGGGGAGCAAACAGGAUUAGAUACCUUGUAGUC